GCCCAGAUGGCGAAAUUGGUAGACGCGCUAGUUUCAGGGACUAGUGGCCGUAAGGCUGUGCAGGUUCGAGUCCUGUUCUGGGCA
RNAcentral lists this transfer RNA (84 nucleotides) under Bacteroidetes bacterium HGW-Bacteroidetes-4. RNAcentral's name for it is "tRNA-Leu". It matches the Rfam family "tRNA". From Rfam's summary of the family: Transfer RNA (tRNA) molecules are approximately 80 nucleotides in length. Their secondary structure includes four short double-helical elements and three loops (D, anti-codon, and T loops). The record is from RNAcentral. RNAcentral also lists the same sequence under 2 other names. Lineage: Bacteria; Pseudomonadati; Bacteroidota.